ACCCAAGACUGUUACCAGAAUAUUUAUUCAGAGCUCCUCUAAAUCGCUAAGAAAAAAAAAAAAUCCAUGGAAAAAUUAGCAAGCAACUUGAACAGGCACUUCACAAAAAAAAAAAAAUCCAUGGAAAAAUUAGCAAGCAACUUGAACAGGCACUUCACAAAGGAAGAGGAUAUCCAAUUGGUCAGUAAGUUUAUUAGUAGUGAGGUGCAAAUAAAAACUACCAUGAUCUGGC
RNAcentral lists this long non-coding RNA (232 nucleotides) under Homo sapiens (human). RNAcentral describes it as "non-protein coding lnc-ARL15-5:2". Lineage: Eukaryota; Metazoa; Chordata; Mammalia; Primates; Hominidae. The record is from RNAcentral.